Long non-coding RNA from Helianthus annuus (common sunflower), 752 nucleotides. RefSeq lists it as uncharacterized. The record is from RefSeq and is a predicted model, not a curated record. Lineage: Eukaryota; Viridiplantae; Streptophyta; Magnoliopsida; Asterales; Asteraceae. The transcript has 2 exons.
CUAUGAUAAUCGCCGGCCACCACAGUUGGUGGCGGCGCAUUAAAUGGCGUGUGGCGGCGAGAUCAAAAUGAGAGCAGCAAGAGACGGAGAUAGGGGAACAGACGAGAGAGAGAUGAAGGCGUCGGAAGAGGAGCAGCGCCGCCGCUCACGGCAGCGACGGUGGUGGCGGCGUCGGUGUUUUGGUCCUUCGAAUUUCAUACCGGUCGUCGACGAACAGGUGCCGACGAUGGCGGCGGUUAUGAAAGUGCUAGUGUCGGGUCAAGUCAGUCAAGAGUCCGAGGUGUUGAGUCGCAUACGGGCCAUUUUCAGCUUCGGGUUUUAAUCUCGGGUCGACAGUGGUUUCGGGUCAGAUGUUGGUCAGAAUAUGGGUUCGGGUGCUUGAUUCAGUUACAGUUCAACGUCAGUUCAGAAUUGGUCUGGUUCACGUCAGUUUAGUUCAGAUUAAGGGUUCAAGUCGAAUGGUCAGACUUUGUUCGGGUCAAGGUUUGGUUCAACGCGGUUUGACUCGGUCAAACCGAGUCAACUCAGUCAACAUCGGUUAAACAGGUCAACGCCCGGUCAAUACGAAGGACCCGGUAAAGUUUUAAGCGUAGCGAAUUAGUUACGUUAGAUUUUAUUUAGUUAUCGUGCACCGAGCUCGAACCGAUACCUUAGUGUUACUUUUGGCAUUUUGAUAGGAAUUUUUGAUAUAGUGAUUUAAUUGUUGAAAAUGGUUGAAUUUUGGAAUUAUAACGACAACUUUUAUUGUCGGG